RNAcentral lists this non-coding RNA (780 nucleotides) under Seladonia aeraria. The record is from RNAcentral. Lineage: Eukaryota; Metazoa; Arthropoda; Insecta; Hymenoptera; Halictidae.
AUAAAAUUUAAUUAUAGUUUUAAAAUUAGUUAAUAAAAUUUAUUUAUAAAUAAAAAUUAAUAAUUAUAAAAAUUUAAAAAAUUUUUAGUAAUAAAAGUAAAAAUUAAUUUUAUAAAUAAAUGAAAGUUUGAAUAAGAAAUUUAAAUUAAUAUAGUGGUAAAUUUAGUGCCAGCAGCAGCGGUUAGACUAUUAUUAUAAAUUAAUUGUUGAAAUAAUUAAAAAUUUUAAUUAAAUUAUAUAUAUAUAUAUAUAUUAAUUUUUUUAGUGAAAUAUAAAAUUAUAGAAUAUAUGUAAAUAAGGAUAAAAAUUUUUAAAUAAUCUUGAAGAUAAACUAGGAUUAGAUACCCUAUUAUAAAGAUAAAUAGAAAAUGUUAAAUAUUAAAUGUUAAAUCAUUAAAAUUAAAUAUUAUGGCGGCUUUAUAUACUUAUUAGAGGAACUUGUUUAUUAAAUUGAUAAUCCACGUUAAGAUAAACUUAAUUAUAUAAGGCUUAUGUAUUGUUGUUUAAAAAAUUUAUAGAAAUUUUAUUUUUAUAAAAUUAUAAUAUUUAUUAUAAUAUGAAUUCAAAUCAAAAUGUAGUUUAAUUAAGAUAGGAUGAGUUACAUUAAAAUUAGAUUUUUUAAAGUAAAAUUUUAAUAUUUUAUAAAGAUAGGAUUUAAAAGUAAAUUUUAUAAAUUAAUAAGAUUGAAAUUAGUUUUAUUUAGUGUACAAAUUGCCCGUCACUUUCAUUAUAAAUGGAAUAAGUCGUAACAUAGUAAAAGUAUUGGAAAAUGUUUUUAUU